RNAcentral lists this ribosomal RNA (490 nucleotides) under uncultured bacterium. RNAcentral describes it as "partial 16S ribosomal RNA". It matches the Rfam family "Bacterial small subunit ribosomal RNA", at positions 30 to 507 of the family's 1533-position model. The record is from RNAcentral.
AUUGAACGCUGGCGGCAGGCCUAACACAUGCAAGUCGAACGGUAACAGAAAGCAGCUUGCUGCUUUGCUGACGAGUGGCGGACGGGUGAGUCAUGUCUGGGAAACUGCCUGAUGGCGGGGGAUAACUACUGGAAACGGUAGCUAAUACCGCAUAACGUCGCAAGCCCAAAGAGGGGGACCUUCGGGCCUCUUGCCAUCGGAUGUGCCCAGAUGGGAUUAGCUUGUUGGUGGGGUAACGGCUCACCAAGGCGACGAUCCCUAGCUGGUCUGAGAGGAUGACCAGCCACACUGGAACUGAGACACGGUCCAGACUCCUACGGGAGGCAGCAGUGGGGAAUAUUGCACAAUGGGCGCAAGCCUGAUGCAGCCAUGCCGCGUGUAUGAAGAAGGCCUUCGGGUUGUAAAGUACUUUCAGCGGGGAGGAAGGGAGUAAAGUUAAUACCUUUGCUCAUUGACGUUACCCGCAGAAGAAGCACCGGCUAACUCCGUG